Molecule: ribosomal RNA, 1030 nt
Filed under: uncultured crenarchaeote
Lineage: Archaea; Thermoproteati; Thermoproteota
Description: bacterial SSU rRNA
Rfam family: Archaeal small subunit ribosomal RNA
Source: RNAcentral
UCCAGGCCCUAACGGGCGCAGCAGGCGCGAAACCUCUGCAAUAGGCGAAAGCUUGACAGGGUUACUCUGAGUGAUUUCCGUUAAGGAGAUCUUUUGGCACCUCUAAAAAUGGUGCAGAAUAAGGGGUGGGCAAGUCUGGUGUCAGCCGCCGCGGUAAUACCAGCACCCCGAGUGGUCGGGACGUUUAUUGGGCCUAAAGCAUCCGUAGCCGGUUCUACAAGUCUUCCGUUAAAUCCACCUGCUUAACAGAUGGGCUGCGGAAGAUACUAUAGAGCUAGGAGGCGGGAGAGGCAAGCGGUACUCGAUGGGUAGGGGUAAAAUCCGUUGAUCCAUUGAAGACCACCAGUGGCGAAGGCGGCUUGCCAGAACGCGCUCGACGGUGAGGGAUGAAAGCUGGGGGAGCAAACCGGAUUAGAUACCCGGGUAGUCCCAGCUGUAAACGAUGCAGACUCGGUGAUGAGUUGGCUUAUUGCUAACUCAGUGCCGCAGGGAAGCCGUUAAGUUUGCCGCCUGGGGAGUACGGUCGCAAGACUGAAACUUAAAGGAAUUGGCGGGGGAGCACCACAAGGGGUGAAGCCUGCGGUUCAAUUGGAGUCAACGCCGGAAAUCUUACCGGGGGCGACAGCAGAGUGAAGGUCAAGCUGAAGACUUUACCAGACAAGCUGAGAGGAGGUGCAUGGCCGUCGCCAGCUCGUGCCGUGAGGUGUCCUGUUAAGUCAGGUAACGAGCGAGACCCCUGCCUCUAGUUGCUACCAUUAUUCUCAGGAGUAGUGGAGCUAAUUAGAGGGACCGCCGUCGCUGAGACGGAGGAAGGUGGGGGCUACGGCAGGUCAGUAUGCCCCGAAACCCUCGGGCCACACGCGGGCUGCAAUGGUAAGGACAAUGAGUUUCGAUUCCGAAAGGAGGAGGCAAUCUCUAAACCUUACCACAGUUAUGAUUGAGGGCUGAAACUCGCCCUCAUGAAUAUGGAAUCCCUAGUAACCGCGUGUCACUAUCGCGCGGUGAAUACGUCCCUGCUCCUUGCACACAA